Molecule: small nuclear RNA, 191 nt
Organism: Artibeus jamaicensis (Jamaican fruit-eating bat)
Lineage: Eukaryota; Metazoa; Chordata; Mammalia; Chiroptera; Phyllostomidae
Product: U2 spliceosomal RNA
Exons: 1
Source: RefSeq, a predicted model, not a curated record
AUUGUUUCUCAGCCUUUUGGCUGAGAUCAAGUGUAGUAUCUAUUCUUAUCAGUUUAGUAUCUGAUAUGUCCUCUAUUCGAGGACAAUGUAUUAAAUAGAUUUUUGAAAUUAGAAGAUGGAAUUAGGGGCUUGCUCCAUCCACUCCACACAUCAACCUGGUAUUGCAGUACUUCCAGAAUGGUAAACAACAA